AGCUGCUGGCAGUGGAGGACAGUGGAGGCUAAACCAAAUCAGCAAAUAUGACCAUCUGUCAUUUAUCUAUAAGCAAAUAUUCAAUAUGUGGCCAUGAAGAGGCUGGAUGCAAGGAUGCAUGGGACACCAGGGCAGGCAGACCCUGUGGUGACGACCGCCAUCAUCGGCUGACGGGACCUGAAGGAAGGCCAACGGCAGUAAGACACGAGUAUGAAUUAUUUCCAAGUCUUGAGUUCUAUACCUCAGGUUACCGUUUAUAUUGGAGCCAUCUAAGAGGAUCACCAAAAGCCAACUGAGAGUAAUCUGACUGUCCAGUAUUAACAAGAAAUAUAUAACACACAAAAGUUGUGCCACAUAAUUAGUAUUAUUAAGUGUCAUUUGGUGCUGGAGUACAAUGAAGAUAUUCUUGCUCUUGUUACCAGAUGUGAGGGUAUCACUGCUAUGGACACUUCGGUAGCUACGGGAGAUCCAUUCAGGUGACAUGUAUCCUGACCCAGCAGUGCCCCGUUCAAACUUAGUUUAGCCAUCGUUGAAAAGAGGUGUCCAGUAUUUACAAAAUGACCAGGCGCAGCGCUGUGGGAACAAACAACACGAUACCACAACGCAUUUUCUCAGUGAUGUUGUUUUCCAUGCUUUCUGUGUCAUCCGAAUUCUCCGAAAA
Molecule: long non-coding RNA, 661 nt
Organism: Brienomyrus brachyistius
Lineage: Eukaryota; Metazoa; Chordata; Actinopteri; Osteoglossiformes; Mormyridae
Exons: 3
Source: RefSeq, a predicted model, not a curated record